This 464-nucleotide ribosomal RNA is filed under the name uncultured bacterium. Its description in RNAcentral is "partial 16S ribosomal RNA". It matches the Rfam family "Bacterial small subunit ribosomal RNA", at positions 339 to 795 of the family's 1533-position model. The record is from RNAcentral.
CUACGGGAUGCAGCAGUGGGGAAUAUUGCACAAUGGGCGCAAGCCUGAUGCAGCCAUGCCGCGUGUAUGAAGAAGGCCUUCGGGUUGUAAAGUACUUUCAGCGGGGAGGAAGGGAGUAAAGUUAAUACCUUUGCUCAUUGACGUUACCCGCAGAAGAAGCACCGGCUAACUCCGUGCCAGCAGCCGCGGUAAUACGGAGGGUGCAAGCGUUAAUCGGAAUGACUGGGCGUAAAGCGCACGCAGGCGGUUUGUUAAGUCAGAUGUGAAAUCCCCGGGCUCAACCUGGGAACAGCAUCUGAUACUGGCAAGCUUGAGUCUCGUAGAGGGGGGUAGAAUUCCAGGUGUAGCGGUGAAAUGCGUAGAGAUCUGGAGGAAUACCGGUGGCGAAGGCGGCCCCCUGGACGAAGACUGACGCUCAGGUGCGAAAGCGUGGGGAGCAAACAGGAUUAGAUACCCUAGUAGUC